This 26-nucleotide non-coding RNA is filed under the name Rattus norvegicus (Norway rat). The record is from RNAcentral. Lineage: Eukaryota; Metazoa; Chordata; Mammalia; Rodentia; Muridae.
UCACUGAAGUGGUUCCUCAGUGUGUC